GGCGGUUCUUAAGUGACAUACCCCGGAAUCAGCCUCCCUCCUCUCUGGUUCUGGGUGGGUCACCUGAGAACUACA
Non-coding RNA from Myotis brandtii (Brandt's bat), 75 nucleotides. The record is from Rfam. Lineage: Eukaryota; Metazoa; Chordata; Mammalia; Chiroptera; Vespertilionidae.